This 253-nucleotide ribosomal RNA is filed under the name uncultured bacterium. Its description in RNAcentral is "partial 16S ribosomal RNA". It matches the Rfam family "Bacterial small subunit ribosomal RNA", at positions 524 to 776 of the family's 1533-position model. The record is from RNAcentral.
UACGUAGGGUGCAAGCAUUGUCCGGAUUUAUUGGGCGUAAAGAGCUCGUAGGCGGCUUGUCACGUCGGGUGUGAAAACUCGGGGCUCAACCCCGAGCCUGCACUCGAUACGGGCUAGCUAGAGUGUUGCAGGGGAGACUGGAAUUCCUGGUGUAGCGGUGAAAUGCGCAGAUAUCAGGAGGAACACCGGUGGCGAAGGCGGUUCUCUGGGACGGUACUGACGCUGAGACGCGAAAGCGUGGGGAGCGAACAGG